AUCUCAAAAAAAAAAUAAAAUAAAAUAAAAAUAAAAAAAUUAAAAAAGGCCAGGCGCAGUGGCUCACGCCUGUAAUCUCAGCACUUUGGGAGGCCGAGGUGGGAGGAUCACGAGGUCAGGAGUUCGACACCAGCCUGGCUAACAUGGUGAAAUCCCGUCUCUACUAAAAAUACAAAAAAAAAAAAAAAAAUUAGCCAGGCGUGGUGGCGGGCGCCUGUAGUCCCCAGCUACUCAGGAGGCUGAGGCAGGAGAAUGGCGUGAACCCCGGAGGCGGAGCUUGCAGUGAGCUGAGAUUGCACCACUGCACUCCAGCCUGGGCGACACAGCGAGACUCCGUCUCAAAAAAAAAAAAAAAAAAAAAAAAAGUUCUGAAAUCCAGUCUGACUGAUGUGGCGAAGUUAAAAAGUCAACCCCUUCCUUGCCUCCCCCACCGCAAAAAACCCUGGAGGUUUGUCUUAUGGCUGCUACAGGAACAUCAUCCUUACAGUUUCCUUAAGCUGGCAUUAAAAUUUGAAUAAUCUCAUAAAUGGAAUACAAAUUAAUGGGUUCUAUUACAACUAUUUUACAUAAUUGAUUUAACAGGAAGUAAUAUUAAUUUAUAAAAGUUGGCCAAUCUCACCCUUCCUGUUGUGCUGGCUAGUUUUUGCUAUAAUUGCCCUGAUUUCAGACAGGUGAGGAAAAGGUUAUUUUUAGUUUAACCUUUGGAACUAGGAAAUAGGGUUUUGAUUGGAAUAAAACAGCACUUUACUGAUGUUAUCUAAUUUAGUCACAAUAAAAACUUAAGAGAUAGAUUUCAUUAUCCACACUGAAGUAAACAAGGCUUAGAGACACUAAAUAAGAUGCCCAAGGUCAUGCAGCUGGUAAAGUGUGGUGAACCCUGGUUGGACUGGCUCUAAAGCCCUUGCUAAUUAACUAAUAAUCAUGCCCAGCGAGACAAUAAAUUUCUGUUUUCAAAACCACCCAGUUGGUGGUACUUUGUUAUGGCAGCUCCAAGAAACUGAUAUAUUAGGCUGGUGCAAAAGUAAUUGUGGUUUUUGCCAUUAAAAACAAAAAAAAAGCAAAAACCAUAAUUACUUUUGCACCAACCUAAUAGUAUCCAAUAAGGUAAACUAGAAAUCUCAGUGUCUCGAUGUUGGCCUUAUUAGAUAUUUUACAUAAUUUAGCAUGUUAUUAACAGGAUAUUCUCUGCUUGUUCUGUGGACACAUGCCAUCUCUUCAAAAGACAGUAAGGCAUCCUGACCAUGUCUCACUUUACAAUGAGCUAGUAUUUUGAUUAUUUACUAAAUAAUCAACAUUGAGCUGUACAUGCAUUAUUUUAUAUAUGCCUCACCACAACCUUUGAGGGUGUUGGUUUUAUUGUAACUGUCAUCCCUCUUGUAACAGAUAGAAAAACUGUGGCUCAAAAAGACCAAGCAAUGCAUUCAAGAUCACACAACUAGAAGCCUGGACUCAAAGCUGGGUCUGAGCAACAUCAAGUCUUCUGUGUGAACCACCAGACCCUACUACUUCUACUCAGGCUCCCCCUCACAGGCCCAGAAGGUGGUGCCAUGGUCAGUAAAGCACAGUUUUGCAAUAUUUUCAUUCUUUAAUCAAGUUGUACUGGCACUUGAUAUCAAACUCCAUAUAUUUUGAGGGUUUUAAAAAAAAUUGUAGGGUCACAUUAAAGAAACUAUUGAAGCAAUUUUUUAAAUGAUGGAUAAGAUUUUCUAAGGC
This 1713-nucleotide long non-coding RNA is filed under the name Homo sapiens (human). Its description in RNAcentral is "non-protein coding lnc-RIF1-3:1". Lineage: Eukaryota; Metazoa; Chordata; Mammalia; Primates; Hominidae. The record is from RNAcentral.